This 253-nucleotide ribosomal RNA is filed under the name uncultured bacterium. RNAcentral's name for it is "partial 16S ribosomal RNA". It matches the Rfam family "Bacterial small subunit ribosomal RNA", at positions 524 to 776 of the family's 1533-position model. The record is from RNAcentral.
UACGUAGGGGGCAAGCGUUGUCCGGAUUUAUUGGGCGUAAAGAGCGUGUAGGCGGCCAUACAGGUCCGUUGUGAAAACUGGAGGCUCAACCUCGAGCUGUCGGCGGAAACCAUCUGGCUAGAGUCCGGAAGAGGAGAGUGGAAUUCCUGGUGUAGCGGUGAAAUGCGCAGAUAUCAGGAAGAACACCUAUGGCGAAGGCAGCUCUCUGGGACGGUACUGACGCUGAGACGCGAAAGCGUGGGGAGCGAACAGG